Non-coding RNA from Peromyscus eremicus (cactus mouse), 381 nucleotides. NCBI's taxonomy places the organism in Eukaryota, Metazoa, Chordata, Mammalia, Rodentia, Cricetidae. The record is from the annotation of a RefSeq genome assembly.
AUGGGGUCAGCUGCUCUCUUGCUGUGGGUACUAUUCCUCUGGGUUCCAGGUUCUACUGGGGACAUUGUGCUGACCCAGUCUCCACCUUCAUUGACUGUGUCUCUAGGGCAAAAAGCCACCAUGUCCUGCAGGUCCAGCCAGAGUAUCACUCUAGGUAGUAUUAUUCAUUAUCUUCACUGGUAUCAACAGAAACCAGGACAGCCCCCAAAACUCCUCAUCUAUGCAGCAUCCAACCUAGCAUCUGGGGUCCCUGCCAGGUUCAGUGGCAGUGGGUCUGGGACAGACUUCACCCUCACUAUCUAUCCUGUGGAGGCUGAUGAUGCUGCAACCUAUUACUGUCAGCAGAGUAAGGAGGUUCCUCCCACAGUGCUCCAGGGCUAA